Non-coding RNA from Clostridium sp. CAG:242, 74 nucleotides. NCBI's taxonomy places the organism in Bacteria, Bacillati, Bacillota, Clostridia, Eubacteriales, Clostridiaceae. The record is from Rfam.
CGGGGUAUAGCGCAGUUUGGUAGCGUGCUUGGUUCGGGACCAAGAGGCCGUGGGUUCAAGUCCCGCUACUCCGA